RNAcentral lists this long non-coding RNA (3678 nucleotides) under Malus domestica (apple). RNAcentral describes it as "long non-coding RNA (MDOM_LNC009910)". The record is from RNAcentral. Lineage: Eukaryota; Viridiplantae; Streptophyta; Magnoliopsida; Rosales; Rosaceae.
CGGGAUGGCUGCCCAUCUGUGCUUCAAUCCAUGCCGUCACAGAGAGAUGGAGACAGAUCGAGAGAGAGAAAGAGAGAUAGAGAGAGAUAUAUAUAGAGAGAGCGAGAGGGGAGAGGUGGGGGUUCGGAUCACUGCUCAUUCUCUGUUGCAUCGUCAGAUAAGUGUUGUUUCAAAUUUAAUUUUGUACCAAAUUUUACUUUUUUUAAUUGUUUCUUGCAUUUAUGGUUACCUGCAUGUGGUGAUUGAAAGGUCAAAAAAAAUUUGCAAAUCUUUUUUCCAUAUUUGGUUAGGUUAGUCUUCUGUAUUUUUUUAAUCCGUUUGGGGAUUUUCUGGGUCUCUAUAUAUGGUUGCUUUUGGGUUUUGCAUCUCAUUCUCGGUUUCUCUCUGUCAGAUAAUAUUUCCAACGUUCGUUCCUUACCUUUUUUUUACGUUUUCUAAUUUUUCAUCUCAGCUUUUGCCAUUCGUGUUUGAUUACAAUAUUUAUGGCUGUAAUAAACCCUUUGAGUGUAUUGUUAGCUUCUGUUUAGACUAUUGUUAGUUGUUGUUAAGUUGCUGCCAUUUUUUGGUAAUUAGUAUUCAAAUUUUUUUUUUUUUUGAAAGAAGUUUGUGUUCUGUGAUUUGAAUUGGAACAAAAUCAGUAAACACAGCAGAUUGAUUUACAAUCUGUGAUUUUCUUAAAAAAUGCCAUAUUUAGGUUGAGCUAUGUUUUAAAUUAUUUGUUUUUUUGCCUCUGUGACUGUGUAUGUAGAUGUCUGUGUGUAUGUGCAAAUAUUUUUGAGCGUAUCGUUGGCUUCUGUUUUAGACUAUUAUUAGUUGUUGUUAGGUUGCUGCCAUUCUUUAAUAAUUAGUGUAAAAUUUUGUUUUUUUUUUAAAGAAGUUUUUCUUCUGUGAUUUGAAUUGGUAAUUAGUGUGUAAAACCCUUUGACUAAUUUUAAUGCGAUAUUUUUAUUUCGAUUGUUUAAGAACAAGAAAACUAACUUUUCUUCUCUUUUUUAUGGAUUGCAGGAAACGUACUGCCAACUCGGGAUUUUGCAUGGUUGCUUUUGGGUUUUGCAUCUCAUUCUCGGUUUCUCUCUGUCAAAUAAUUUUUCCAGCGUUCGUUCCUUACCUUUUUUUUACGUUUUCUAAUUUUUCAUCUUAGCUUUUGCCAUUCGUGUUUGAUUACAAUAUUUAUGGCUGUAAUAAACCCUUUGAGUGUAUUGUUAGCUUCUGUUUAGACUGUUGUUAGUUGUUGUUAAGUUGCUGCCAUUUUUUGGUAAUUAGUGUUAAAAUGUUUUUUUUUUUAAAGAAGUUUUUAUUCUGUGAUUUGAAUUGGAACAAAAUCAGUAAACACAACAGGUUGAUUUACAAUCUGUGAUUUUUUUUAAAAAUGCCAUAUUUAGGUUCAGCUCUGUUUUAAAUUAUUUGUAUUUUUGUCUCUGUGACUGUGUAUGUACAUGUCUGUGUAUGUACAUGUCUGUGUGUAUGUGCAAAUAUUUUUGAGCGUAUCGUUAGCUUCUGUUUUAGACUGUUAUUAGUUGUUUUUAGGUUGCUGCCAUUCUUUAAUAAUUAGUGUAAAAUUUUGUUUUUUUUUAAAGAAGUUUUUUUGCUGUGAUUUGACUUGGUAAUUAGUGUGUAAAACGAUGGGAAGUUUAACUGUUUGCGGAUUAAUCUUGGUUUCAUUUUCCGUAUGUGUUUAUUUUUGGCCAAUGAAUUUUAGAGUGUUGUUAUUUGUUGUUAAGUUGCUGCCAUUUUUUGGUGAUUGGCAUUAAAAACCUUUAUUUUUUGAAGAGGUUUUUUUUUUUGGGUGAUUUUAAUUGGAACCCUUUAACUACACAUGUUUUUAGAGUGUGCACAUCUAUAUGUAUGUGUGUGUACAUGUAAAAAACUCUGUAACUCACUGCACAUUUUUAUAACUGUGAAACACUCCCAUUUGCUGAAAAGUGCAGUUUAUAUGUGUACAUGUGUAUAAAUGUAUGUGCAAGUAUAUGUGUCAGUGUAUACCUAAGUAUAUGUCUAGAUAUAUGUAUAGGCGCCUAUAUAACUAUAUGUAUAUCUGUGUACAUGUGUAUAUGUAUGUAUGGGCACCUGUAUAACUAUAUUUAUAUCUAUGUACAUGUAUAAGUACCUGUACAACUAUAUGUAUAUACGUAUGUAUGCAUGCAUGCAUCUGUGUGUAUGUCUGUAUGUACAUGUAUAUGUAUGUAUGCAUGCAUGCAUCUGUGUGUGUAUGUACAUGUAUAUGUAUGUAUGCAUGAUGUGUGUGUAUGUACAUGUAUAUGUAUGUGUACAUGCAUCUGUAUGCGUCUGUCUGUGUAUGUACAUGUAUAUGUAUGCAUGCAUGCAUCUGUAUGCGUGUGUGUGUAUAUACAUGUAGAUGUGUGUAUAUGUAAGGUUUAGGGUUUAGAUAAUUUGUGUGUGAGUGUGGUCUUUAAUGUUUGGGGAAAAUUUCUAAGUUGGUUACUAUUACAGGAUUAGUGGUGAUGGAUUUGCUAUGUUUGUGAAUUUCAGAAAUUUGGAUACUCGAAGGAAACACUUGGGCCUUUAGCUUUUUGAGGUAUAUUCAUUAAUGGCGGUUUUCUAACUAUAGAAUAGCAUUCAUUUCCAAUAUUUUUGGUAUUUUGCCAUGGUUGUAAUUCACAUUUAAAGGUGUAAAAACAGGUGUGUUGUAUAUAUAUAUAUGGAGUUGGAAUAUAUGUCGACUGUUACAAGCAAAUAUAGUGUUGACUUAUAAACGAUUUUCCCAUCCUCAUUUACAUGUUCAAUGUAGACUUAAUUAUGCUAAUCAGCCUCUGUUGCAAAAACGAAUCUCCUUUGUGGCUAAGUGAAAACAUGCAGAUCAUCUUAUUUUAUUAAUUUCAGCAUAAAUUAACACUUGCAUUUGAUCAGUGUGAGUAAGUAUGUAAUGUAUGGAAAAAAAAACAGUUUAGUUUCAUUACGAUUUAUUCAAAAAGAUUUAUAAAUAUUUGCCUUCGCGUAUUGUUUACUUAUAAAAAAAAAUUGAAUUAUUUGGUUCAUUAACAUUAUAUUUAAUUUGUGAUUCAGAGAAAAUAAAAUGGUGAAAGAGAUCGAUCGAAAAGAACAACAAAUUUUAGGAGGGGUUUUGGUAAAAGAUUUAAGAAGCUUGGUAAUAGCUCGAAAAGAAGAACAGCUUCGAGGGACAAAAUUGUUUUAUUCAGAGACUGGUCCAGGACCCAGCACAUCAAGAGCACGAAAAAUAGAAAAAACAAGAAUGGGUUUACGUGUCUAUGGAAAAGGUGUCAAUCGAAACAAAUUAGUGGUUCACACUAUGUAUUCACCUAGAAAUCGUAGUAAUCCACCGAAAGAAAAAUGGGCAGAAGAGCUUUUUUGGGUUGUACAAUUGGAUUUGCAAGUUUGAUCGCCCAAAGAAGAUUGGGAUGCUCCUUCUCUGGUUCAUCUCCACUGUAGUGGUUUUUUGGAUUUUAAAAAAUAUGUAGGGAUCAUCUAGAUUUUAAAUUUUUAAAAAAGGUUUUGUAAACCUUUUUUGGUUGCUUGGUAACCAUAAUGAUGUAAACGAUGAAGUGGUUUUUUGAAUUGUAAAAUAUGUAGGGAUGGGUGGAAUUUUGAAUUUUAUAAAAAAGGUUGCGUAAACUUUUUUGUUGGCUUACAAGCAUAAUGAUGUAAACAAUGAUCACCCUUAUCGAUAUAAUAAUUAAGUGUUGUUGCUACUCAUUUUCA